RNAcentral lists this ribosomal RNA (163 nucleotides) under Gillenia stipulata (American-ipecac). RNAcentral describes it as "5.8S ribosomal RNA". It matches the Rfam family "5.8S ribosomal RNA". From Rfam's summary of the family: 5.8S ribosomal RNA (5.8S rRNA) is a component of the large subunit of the eukaryotic ribosome. The record is from RNAcentral. Lineage: Eukaryota; Viridiplantae; Streptophyta; Magnoliopsida; Rosales; Rosaceae.
AAAAUGACUCUCGGCAACGGAUAUCUCGGCUCUCGCAUCGAUGAAGAACGUAGCGAAAUGCGAUACUUGGUGUGAAUUGCAGAAUCCCGUGAACCAUCGAGUCUUUGAACGCAAGUUGCGCCCGAAGCCUUUAGGCCGAGGGCACGCCUGCCUGGGCGUCACA